RNAcentral lists this ribosomal RNA (253 nucleotides) under uncultured bacterium. Its description in RNAcentral is "partial 16S ribosomal RNA". It matches the Rfam family "Bacterial small subunit ribosomal RNA", at positions 524 to 776 of the family's 1533-position model. The record is from RNAcentral.
UACGUAGGGUGCAAGCGUUAAUCGGAAUUACUGGGCGUAAAGCGUGCGCAGGCGGUUAUGUAAGACAGAUGUGAAAUCCCCGGGCUCAACCUGGGAACUGCAUUUGUGACUGCAUCGCUGGAGUACGGCAGAGGGGGAUGGAAUUCCGCGUGUAGCAGUGAAAUGCGUAGAUAUGCGGAGGAACACCGAUGGCGAAGGCAAUCCCCUGGGCCUGUACUGACGCUCAUGCACGAAAGCGUGGGGAGCAAACAGG